CUAGCCGUAAACGGUGCACGUUUGCUGUAAAAGGAAUCGACCCCUUUUGUGGCGAAGCUAACGCGAUAAACGUGCCGCCUGGGAAGUACGGUCGCAAGAUUAAAACUCAAAGAAAUUGACGGGGGCCUGCACAAGCGGUGGAGUAUGUGGCUCAAUUCGAUGCAACGCGAAGAACCUUACCUGGCCUUGACAUGCAUAUAGUAGAAGGGUGAAAGCCUGACGAGGUAGCAAUACCAGUAUGCACAGGUGC
Molecule: ribosomal RNA, 250 nt
Filed under: uncultured Verrucomicrobium sp.
Lineage: Bacteria; Pseudomonadati; Verrucomicrobiota; Verrucomicrobiia; Verrucomicrobiales; Verrucomicrobiaceae
Description: partial 16S ribosomal RNA
Rfam family: Bacterial small subunit ribosomal RNA
Source: RNAcentral